Molecule: ribosomal RNA, 406 nt
Filed under: uncultured bacterium
Lineage: Bacteria
Description: partial 16S ribosomal RNA
Rfam family: Bacterial small subunit ribosomal RNA
Source: RNAcentral
GAUGAACGCUGGCGGCGUGCCUAAUACAUGCAAGUCGAGCGAGCGGCGGACGGGUGAGUAAUGUCUGGGCAACUGCCUGAUGGAGGGGGAUAACUACUGGAAACGGUAGCUAAUACCGCAUACCAUCAGAUGUGCCCAGAUGGGAUUAGCUAGUAGGUGGGGUAAUGGCUCACCUAGGCGACGAUCCCUAGCUGGUCUGAGAGGAUGACCGGCCACACUGGAACUGAGACACGGUCCAGACUCCUACGGGAGGCAGCAGUGGGGAAUAUUGCACAAUGGGCGCAAGCCUGAUGCAGCCAUGCCGCGUGUGUGAAGAAGGCCUUCGGGUUGUAAAGCACUUUCAGCGAGGAGGCGUUACUCGAAGAAGAAGCACCGGCUAACUACGUGCCAGCAGCCGCGGUAAUUC